UCUUCUUCUUCUUCAUCGUGAACCUAGAGUCGUCGCCUUCCCUCUCUUCUCUUCUCUUCUAUUAGCUCUGAUGACCACCAUCUCCAUCGUUCUCCUCGUCGAGCGUUGUUCGUUGCGUCCCCACAAAAUCCAACUGCCCACCAUCAUGUUUCUUUUGUUUGCGUUGAGGUUCUUCGUAGUCGUCCGCUGAUCUUUCCGUCGUGAGUUUUUGGCCAUAUCUGAAGUCGAGUUUCAGUCAACAUCUCUUUCGUCGUCGUCCAAUCAAACCAAGUCGUGUUUUCUUUUCGUCAGUCGUUUGUCUCACCUAACCGUGUGCAUCGAGUCGCCUUUCAAGCUAAGCUGUCAGUUAACACUUUCCUUUUUCUUGCUGCUGCUUCUACCUCAUUGUGAGAUUUGUGGUAAAGGUAAUGCGAGAGGUAGACCUGCUGUGAAGGGCAAGAGGGACUCGUGAUCGCCAUGUGGAAGCGUUUUUCUUUUAAAUGCUUUCUCUUAAUGUUUUUACUAUUUUUAGUUUUAAGGAUCGAAAAUGAGUCAUAUUUAGGACAUCUAUUUGUUUUUGUUUUCGAUGAAUUUAUAAACAAUGCCGUGGACUUUUAAAUUUCUUUGAAAUAGGCUCGAAGGUAGCUUUUUUUA
Long non-coding RNA from Cucumis melo (muskmelon), 633 nucleotides. RefSeq lists it as uncharacterized. The transcript is spliced from 2 exons. The record is from RefSeq and is a predicted model, not a curated record. NCBI's taxonomy places the organism in Eukaryota, Viridiplantae, Streptophyta, Magnoliopsida, Cucurbitales, Cucurbitaceae.